Molecule: ribosomal RNA, 379 nt
Filed under: uncultured eukaryote
Lineage: Eukaryota
Description: partial 18S ribosomal RNA
Rfam family: Eukaryotic small subunit ribosomal RNA
Source: RNAcentral
CAAUAGCGUAUAUUUAAGUUGUUGCAGUUAAAAAGCUCGUAGUUGGAUUUCGGAUGGGACUUGCCGGUCCGUCGUUUCGAUGUGCACUGGCCAGUCCUAUCUUGUUGUCGGGGACUAGCUCCUGGGCUUCACUGUCCGGGACUAGGAGCUGACGAGGUUACUUUGAGUAAAUUAGAGUGUUCAAAGCAAGCCUACGCUCUGAAUACAUUAGCAUGGAAUAACACGAUAGGACUCUGGCUUAUCUUGUUGGUCUGUGAGACCAGAGUAAUGAUUAAGAGGGACAGUCGGGGGCAUUCGUAUUUCAUUGUCAGAGGUGAAAUUCUUGGAUUUAUGAAAGACGAACUUCUGCGAAAGCAUUUGUCAAGGAUGUUUUCGUUAA